This 271-nucleotide ribosomal RNA is filed under the name Acinetobacter sp. BC2_TSA3D8. Its description in RNAcentral is "partial 16S ribosomal RNA". It matches the Rfam family "Bacterial small subunit ribosomal RNA", at positions 1074 to 1345 of the family's 1533-position model. The record is from RNAcentral. Lineage: Bacteria; Pseudomonadati; Pseudomonadota; Gammaproteobacteria; Moraxellales; Moraxellaceae.
GUUGGGUUAAGUCCCGCAACGAGCGCAACCCUUUUCCUUAUUUGCCAGCACUUCGGGUGGGAACUUUAAGGAUACUGCCAGUGACAAACUGGAGGAAGGCGGGGACGACGUCAAGUCAUCAUGGCCCUUACGGCCAGGGCUACACACGUGCUACAAUGGUCGGUACAAAGGGUUGCUACACAGCGAUGUGAUGCUAAUCUCAAAAAGCCGAUCGUAGUCCGGAUUGGAGUCUGCAACUCGACUCCAUGAAGUCGGAAUCGCUAGUAAUCGC